Molecule: ribosomal RNA, 406 nt
Filed under: uncultured Glomeromycotina
Lineage: Eukaryota; Fungi; Glomeromycota
Description: SSU rRNA
Rfam family: Eukaryotic small subunit ribosomal RNA
Source: RNAcentral
CACCGGAGAGGGAGCCUGAGAAACGGCUACCACANNNNNNNAUGGCAGCAGGCGCGCAAAUUACCCAAUCCCGACACGGGGAGGUAGUGACAAUAAAUAACAAUACGGGGUUCUUUAGGAUCUCGUAAUUGGAAUGAGUACAAUUUAAAUCUCUUAACGAGGAACAAUUGGAGGGCAAGUCUGGUGCCAGCAGCCGCGGUAAUUCCAGCUCCAAUAGCGUAUAUUAAAGUUGUUGCAGUUAAAAAGCUCGUAGUUGAAUUUCGGGGUUAGUAGGUUGGUCAUGCCUCUGGUAUGUACUGGUCUCACUGAUUCCUCCUUCCUUAUGAACCGUAAUGCCAUUAAUUUGGUGUUGCGGGGAAUUUGGACUGUUACUUUGAAAAAAUUAGAGUGUUUAAAGCAAGCUAAC